GACGAACGCUGGCGGCGUGCCUAAUACAUGCAAGUAGAACGCACAGUUUAUACCGUAGCUUGCUACACCAUAGACUGUGAGUUGCGAACGGGUGAGUAACGCGUAGGUAACCUGCCUGGUAGCGGGGGAUAACUAUUGGAAACGAUAGCUAAUACCGCAUAAUAUUAAUUAUUGCAUGAUAAUUAAUUGAAAGGUGCAAUUGCACCACUACCAGAUGGACCUGCGUUGUAUUAGCUAGUAGGUGAGGUAACGGCUCACCUAGGCAACGAUACAUAGCCGACCUGAGAGGGUGAUCGGCCACACUGGGACUGAGACACGGCCCAGACUCCUACGGGAGGCAGCAGUAGGGAAUCUUCGGCAAUGGACGAAAGUCUGACCGAGCAACGCCGCGUGAGUGAAGAAGGUUUUCGGAUCGUAAAGCUCUGUUGUAAGAGAAGAACGGGUGUGAGAGUGGAAAGUUCACACUGUGACGGUAUCUUACCAGAAAGGGACGGCUAACUACGU
RNAcentral lists this ribosomal RNA (504 nucleotides) under uncultured bacterium. RNAcentral describes it as "partial 16S ribosomal RNA". It matches the Rfam family "Bacterial small subunit ribosomal RNA", at positions 28 to 506 of the family's 1533-position model. The record is from RNAcentral.